ACAUAUUUAGACUAAUUGGCAAGUCGUCACCAUCCCCCGUGUGAAAACCUCAGUUCGAUUCCGAGAAUAUGUA
This 73-nucleotide transfer RNA is filed under the name Limosilactobacillus reuteri subsp. rodentium. RNAcentral's name for it is "Lactobacillus reuteri 100-23 tRNA-Gly". Lineage: Bacteria; Bacillati; Bacillota; Bacilli; Lactobacillales; Lactobacillaceae. The record is from RNAcentral.